RNAcentral lists this ribosomal RNA (117 nucleotides) under bacterium. The record is from RNAcentral.
UAAGGCCGUUAGAGCGAGGCGGAACCACCUCUUCCCAUUUCGAACAGAGAAGUGAAAAGCCUCAGCGCCGAUGAUACUGCAGCUACUCAGCUGUGGGAACCUAGGUCACGGCCACUU